CUUCCUCUUCUUCCAAUGCUUAUUUAGCGCAAGCAAGCAAACAUCCAUCUCAAUUUGCAGUGUGACAGAAGGAAAAAAAUGAAGCCCUGAUUCACUCACCUCCCAUUUCUCUCUUUCUUCAAACUCUUUAAAUGUGUAGGACCUUGUUGACUGGAUGAAUAUUAGCUAUUCUCUCUAAUGAACAUGGUAAAUGUUUCCCUCCUAGUACCCCUUUGCUUCUGAAAGUGAGAGUUGGUUUCUGGCAUCUGUAACAUUUAGCAAUGUAGUCUGUGUCUCUCUGCUGAAGAUUAGCCAUUAUCAAACCACCCUUUAUUGAGUUGCUAUUGGUAGAGAUUGAAUCUCAUAACCUCCAUGCUGCGAUGGGUGGUGGGUGUUACAAUUUUUCAAGCUGGUAGCCCACAUAAUCAUGCUUGUAUAUGUACAUGAAUAAUCUUUGUAUUUUCCCGACAAUACACAGCAAUCAUUGACUUCUCAAGCUCAGUAGUUGGAUGCACAUGUAUCUUUGUAUUUUCUUGACAAUCUCCAACUUGUUCUAGGCUUCUAAAUAAUCUUGGAAUCAUUAUGUCACCUUUUAAUUCUGAGAUAUUAUUAAAGAAACUUAACAUUUCAUCCAAAUCAAAUGAUUAAAGUACAUGAGAUUUGCAUAA
This is a long non-coding RNA of Populus euphratica (Euphrates poplar), 647 nucleotides long. RefSeq lists it as uncharacterized. The record is from RefSeq and is a predicted model, not a curated record. The transcript has 2 exons. Lineage: Eukaryota; Viridiplantae; Streptophyta; Magnoliopsida; Malpighiales; Salicaceae.